UUUCUAGCUUGCUAGAAGAUGACGAGCGGCGGACGGGUGAGUAAUACUUAGGAAUCUACCUAGUAGUGGGGGAUAGCUCGGGGAAACUCGAAUUAAUACCGCAUACGACCUACGGGAGAAAGGGGGCAACUUGUUGCUCUCGCUAUUAGAUGAGCCUAAGUCGGAUUAGCUAGAUGGUGGGGUAAAGGCCUACCAUGGCGACGAUCUGUAGCUGGUCUGAGAGGAUGAUCAGCCACACCGGGACUGAGACACGGCCCGGACUCCUACGGGAGGCAGCAGUGGGGAAUAUUGGACAAUGGGGGCAACCCUGAUCCAGCCAUGCCGCGUGUGUGAAGAAGGCCUUUUGGUUGUAAAGCACUUUAAGCAGUGAAGAAGACUCUGUGGUUAAUACCCACAGACGAUGACAUUAGCUGCAGAAUAAGCACCGGCUAACUCUGUGCCAGCAGCCGCGGUAAUACAGAGGGUGCAAGCGUUAAUCGGAAUUACUGGGCGUAAAGCGAGCGUAGGUGGCUUGAUAAGUCAGAUGUGAAAUCCCCGGGCUUAACCUGGGAACUGCAUCUGAUACUGUUAGGCUAGAAUAGGUGAGAGGAAGGUAGAAU
This 599-nucleotide ribosomal RNA is filed under the name Psychrobacter alimentarius. RNAcentral's name for it is "bacterial SSU rRNA". It matches the Rfam family "Bacterial small subunit ribosomal RNA", at positions 72 to 667 of the family's 1533-position model. Lineage: Bacteria; Pseudomonadati; Pseudomonadota; Gammaproteobacteria; Moraxellales; Moraxellaceae. The record is from RNAcentral.